Molecule: long non-coding RNA, 362 nt
Filed under: Piliocolobus tephrosceles (Ugandan red Colobus)
Lineage: Eukaryota; Metazoa; Chordata; Mammalia; Primates; Cercopithecidae
Description: lncRNA (ENSPTEG00000039545.1)
Source: RNAcentral
CUCUUACGACUUAGAUCUCAGCAGUCAGAACAGACCAAGCUUUCACUGCUGAUGAACCGAGUGCAAUGACAACUGUGAGAAGCUUUAGCUCUACAUCACAAUGGAUUGGGAGCAGGUACAAAGCCUAUGGGCUAUCAAAGCACUUUGACCUCUGAAGUAGCGGCCGCCAUCAUCACAGUCUGUGCGUCUGUGCAAAAGGGGCAUCUUAUCCCAGAGAUAAAGUUUUGGGACACCAUGAGGUCAUCUCCUUGCUGACAGCCCAGAACGACUGUGCGCCCCAACCCCGACAGCCCAGGGGUGGAGUAAGAGGGAGGCUCGUGGAGAACCUGGUAACCCCUUCUCCCUCCAUCACUGACUGAGGC